Molecule: ribosomal RNA, 253 nt
Filed under: uncultured bacterium
Lineage: Bacteria
Description: partial 16S ribosomal RNA
Rfam family: Bacterial small subunit ribosomal RNA
Source: RNAcentral
AACGUAGGUGGCGAGCGUUAUCCGGAUUUACUGGGCGUAAAGGGCGCGUAGGCGGCCGAUCAAGUCCGGGGUGAAAUCCGGCAGCUCAACUGUCGAAGUGCCUUUGAUACUGAUUUGCUCGAGGGAGAUAGGGGUCUGUGGAACUUCUGGUGGAGCGGUGAAAUGCGUUGAUAUCAGAAGGAACGCCGGUGGCGAAAGCGACGGACUGGAUCUCUUCUGACGCUGAGGCGCGAAAGCUAGGGGAGCAAACGGG